AAUGAACGUUGGCGGCGUGGAUUAGGCAUGCAAGUCGUGCGUGUACCCCGCAAGGGGGAAAGCGGCGCAAGGGAGAGUAACGCGUGGUUAUCUACCCCCGGGACCGGGAUAGCUGUGGGAAACUGCAGGUAAUACCGGAUGACGUCUCCGGACCAAAUGGUGUGAUUCCGCCAGGGGCUGAGAUCGCGUCCUAUCAGCUAGUUGGCGAGGUAAUGGCUCACCAAGACUAAGACGGGUACGGGGUGUGAGAGCCUGCCCCCGCUCACUGGGACUGAGAUACUGCCCAGACGCCUACGGGUGGCUGCAGUCGAGAAUCUUCGGCAAUGGGCGCAAGCCUGACCGAGCGACGCCGCGUGUGGGAUGAAGGCUUUCGGGUUGUAAACCACUGUCGUAGGGGAGGAAAUGCAUCAGGGUACUCUCUGGUGUUUGACCUAUCCUAGGAGGAAGUACGGGCUAAGUUCGUGCCAGCAGCCGCCGUAA
RNAcentral lists this ribosomal RNA (480 nucleotides) under uncultured bacterium. RNAcentral describes it as "partial 16S ribosomal RNA". It matches the Rfam family "Bacterial small subunit ribosomal RNA", at positions 28 to 523 of the family's 1533-position model. The record is from RNAcentral.